Non-coding RNA from Triticum urartu, 98 nucleotides. NCBI's taxonomy places the organism in Eukaryota, Viridiplantae, Streptophyta, Magnoliopsida, Poales, Poaceae. The record is from Rfam.
UCAUUCGGAUUCGCCAUCAUACGUCCAACCGUGCAUUUGAUAUGCAUAUAUAUGCAUCACGAGCCACGGUUGGGCUGUAUGAUGGCGAUACCGAUUGG